This 20-nucleotide unclassified non-coding RNA is filed under the name Chlamydomonas reinhardtii. Its description in RNAcentral is "small RNA Cre_1589". The record is from RNAcentral. Lineage: Eukaryota; Viridiplantae; Chlorophyta; Chlorophyceae; Chlamydomonadales; Chlamydomonadaceae.
GACGUGUAAUAAAUUUAGAC